RNAcentral lists this ribosomal RNA (467 nucleotides) under uncultured bacterium. RNAcentral's name for it is "partial 16S ribosomal RNA". It matches the Rfam family "Bacterial small subunit ribosomal RNA", at positions 28 to 507 of the family's 1533-position model. The record is from RNAcentral.
GACGAACGCUGGCGGCGUGCUUAACACAUGCAAGUCGAACGAUGAAGCCCAGCUUGCUGGGUGUGAGCGUGGCGCACGGGUGAGUAACACAUGAGUAUCCUGCCCUGUACUCUGGGAUAAGCACUCGGAACGGUGUCUAAUACUGGAUACGACCUAUCACCGCAUGGUGUGUGGGUGGGAAGAUUUAUCGGUUCUGGAUGGACUCGCGGCCUAUCAGCUAGAUGGUGAGGUAAUGGCUCACCAUGGCGACGACGGGUAGCCGGCCUGAGAGGGUGACCGGCCACACUGGGACUGAGAUACGGCCCAGACUCCUACGGGAGGCAGCAGUGGGGAAUAUUGCACAAUGGGCGCAAGCCUGAUGCAGCAACGCCGCGUGCGGGAUGACGGCCUUCGGGUUGUAAACCUCUUUUAGUAGGGAAGAAGCGAAAGUGACGGUACCUGCAGAAAAAGCACCGGCUAACUACGUG